GUGAGCAUAGCUCAGUUGGUAGGACAAUGCAUUAUUAUAUGCAUGGGUCGGGGUUCGAACCUCAGACGCCCCACU
RNAcentral lists this transfer RNA (75 nucleotides) under Medicago truncatula (barrel medic). RNAcentral's name for it is "tRNA-OTHER". Lineage: Eukaryota; Viridiplantae; Streptophyta; Magnoliopsida; Fabales; Fabaceae. The record is from RNAcentral.